CGGGGGGAGCAAGCGUUGUUCGGAUUUACUGGGCGUAAAGGGCGCGUAGGCGGCCACCGCAAGUCGACUGCGAAAUCUCCGGGCUUAACCCGGAAAGGUCAGCCGAUACUGCGGGGCUAGAGUGCAGAAGGGGCAACUGGAAUUCUCGGUGUAGCGGUGAAAUGCGUAGAUAUCGAGAGGAACACCUGCGGCGAAGGCGGGUUGCUGGGCUGACACUGACGCUGAGGCGCGAAAGCUAGGGGAGCGAACGGGAUUAGAUACCCCGGUAGUCCUAGCCUUAAACGAUGAAUGCUUGGUGUCUGGGGUUUUAUAGUCCCCGGGUGCCGUCGCUAACGCUUUAAGCAUUCCGCCUGGGGAGUACGGUCGCAAGACUG
RNAcentral lists this ribosomal RNA (374 nucleotides) under uncultured organism. RNAcentral describes it as "bacterial SSU rRNA". It matches the Rfam family "Bacterial small subunit ribosomal RNA", at positions 526 to 896 of the family's 1533-position model. The record is from RNAcentral.